This 407-nucleotide ribosomal RNA is filed under the name uncultured bacterium. Its description in RNAcentral is "partial 16S ribosomal RNA". It matches the Rfam family "Bacterial small subunit ribosomal RNA", at positions 28 to 526 of the family's 1533-position model. The record is from RNAcentral.
GACGAACGCUGGCGGCGUGCCUAAUACAUGCAAGUAGGACGCAGUUGCGAACGGGUGAGUAACGCGUAGGUAACUACCUAUUAGAGGGGUAUAACUAUUGGAAACGAUAGCUAAUACCGCAUACUAGUAGAUGGACCUGCGUUGUAUUAGCUAGUAGGUAGGGUAAUGGCCUACCUAGGCAACGAUACAUAGCCGACCGUGGAGGGGGAGCGGCCACAAUGGGACUGGGAGACGGCCCAGACUGCUACGGGAGGGAGCCGUAGGGAAUCUUCGGCAAUGGGGGGAAACCUGGCCGAGCAACGGCGCGUGGGUGAAGAAGGUUUUCGGAUCUGAAAGCUCUGUUGUGCAGGAAGCGGUACUUAACCAGAAAGGGACGGCUAACUACGUGCCAGCAGCCGCGGUAAUAC